This 1188-nucleotide long non-coding RNA is filed under the name Anas platyrhynchos platyrhynchos (common mallard). RNAcentral's name for it is "lncRNA (ENSAPLG00000031065.1)". The record is from RNAcentral. Lineage: Eukaryota; Metazoa; Chordata; Aves; Anseriformes; Anatidae.
UCAAAGCACUUUGGCUAGAGGCACAGAAUGAAAAUCAGUGCUCUUUUGGUGACAGUGCUGCAAUUUAACACUGAUGUUCCUGAAGACCUCCUUUCUCAAGAAAAAGCACUUACUUACUCUGUAUGCCGGAUUCAGCUGCCUGCAUUGCUUCAGAGCUGGGGAAAAUAUUCUACAGACUUUAUUGUGUACAGGAAAUGCAGCAGAGUGCUCCCUGGUUCAGUUGCCAUAGCAGUAACAGUGCAGUGCCUCUUUAAGGCAUCCUGUUACAAAUAGGAUAUAUCUUUCUUCAUAUAACAUUUUGAAAACAAACAUCUAUUUUAUUCUGUCUGGGCUUGGUGAGGCAUCUGUAUUACCUUCUGUCAAAACCUCUGUAGGAUUCAAGUCAGUUCUCAAUUGUGAUCAGAGAUUCUAGUUCCUGUUUAGUUGAGGUACACUGUGUUGCAUGCACAUGCUUGUAUGUGAAGGAGCCUCAUACUUGUAUGUGAAGGAGCUUGUAUGGGAAAUAGCCGAUGUGUAGCUGCAUACAUGUAAUCUUGUUAAAUUUUUGUAGUAGGGUUUACACUGAAAUUCUUGUUUUGCACUUCCUGCACUAAGUACACUUGCAGAGAUCACUGCUGUGAAAUGAGUAAUGAAGAACUGAGUGUUAUCUUAAAUAAUGAGCUGUUUCACAAUUAAUAAUAUUGGAGGGGGUAUGCUUGAAGCAUAAAGCAAUAGAGAUCAGUUUGUCUCUUUUUGGAAGGCCUUAAAAUUGUUGAAAUUCCAAAUUGUCUUCUUGUUUGACUGGUGAGGCUAAGCAUUAGUUGUUAAACUGGGUGUGAAUGUGGAGGAACAUGUAUAGAGACUAUAAAUGUAUAUAUUUAAUGUGAAUGAUGUGCAUUGAAUAUAUUUUCAUAAAUAACAUUACUUUUACUUGUUGUUCUGAAUAUGUGUUUCCAAAAGAUCCAACAUCAGCUGUAAAAAAUGCAGCUUUGUGGGCUUUGAGGAUGUGUUUUAACAUCUAUUUAAACUAAGAGGAGUUUGGGGAAUUCAUUAAACACUGACAUUUGCAAACUUACCUGUACCAUUUUUCUGAUUGAAAUGCAAAUAUUUUGAAGGUUGUUGUUGGGGUGUUUUUUCUUAGAAAUGAUGAUGAGAUGUAGUCUUACUUCUUAAAUACAUGAAAUAAAGAUAGAAAUGUUUUGACUGUCA